Molecule: ribosomal RNA, 678 nt
Filed under: Plasmopara obducens
Lineage: Eukaryota; Oomycota; Peronosporomycetes; Peronosporales; Peronosporaceae
Description: LSU rRNA
Rfam family: Eukaryotic large subunit ribosomal RNA
Source: RNAcentral
UAGUAACGGCGAGUGAAGCGGGAUGAGCUCAAGCUUAAAAUCUUCGUGCAAUUUUUGCACGGCGAAUUGUAGUCUAUAGAGGCGUGGUCAGUAUAAGCACUUGGGGUAAGUUCCUUGGAAAAGGACAGCAUGGAGGGUGAUACUCCCGUUCAUCUCUAAGUUGCUUGUGCGUACGACCCGUUUUCUUUGAGUCGCGUUGUUUGAGAAUGCAGCGCAAAGUAGGUGGUAAAUUCCAUCUAAAGCUAAAUAUUGGUGCGAGACCGAUAGCAAACAAGUACCGUGAGGGAAAGAUGAAAAGAACUUUGAAAAUAGAGUUAAAGAGUACCUGAAACUGCUGAAAGGGAACCAAAUCGUUUCCAGUGUCUAUAAUCCGUGGUAUAUUUCAUUGGCGAGUGUGUGCGUGCGUGUGCUGUUGCAGUGGCUUUUUGGCUGCGCUCGGUGUGUGUGCUGUGUGUACUUGCUGGUGCCCUGUGCUGCGGUGGGACGUCAAGGUCAGUUCGUAUGCUGCGGGAAAUGGCUACUGAGGAGGUAGGGCUUACGCUUGCGUUUGUCUGUUAUAUCUUGGUGGACGAGUCGUCGCGGUUGGGACUGAGGUGCCUACAACGUGCUUUUGAGUGGGCUUGGGUCUCCGUGUGCGCCGUGUGCGGAUAGCUUGCUAUGCGUGUGUGGUUGUAUGUG